UGAGUUUGUCUGGACUGUCCUCUGCUGAAGGCUCUGUGGAGCUGAGAGACAGAGAAAGACAGAAGUGGAACAAGAGAAAAAUUAAAUACAGUUUAAUGUUCAUUAGAUGGAGCCAGACAGGCAAAAGGAAAACAGCUCUGCAACUCAAUGAUUAUUUACCCAUUUACAGGGUCCAGAGCUUGUAUGUGCUCCUCCAGACUGCGAGAAGGGCCCAGCAUCACAGGAGACUGAGAACCUGUAAUCACAAACACCCCACACUGAGCAAACUCCUACUUCAAUGAAUGGGCCUAAGCAAAUAGUAAAAACAUUGCAAGGCACAGAUGUACCCACCAUCCUGAAGAGUUCCUGUGGUGGACAGCAGUUGCAGUGAUUUUCUGUGGGAGCCCUCUGC
Monopterus albus (swamp eel) is the source of this 391-nucleotide long non-coding RNA. RefSeq lists it as uncharacterized. The record is from RefSeq and is a predicted model, not a curated record. The transcript is spliced from 4 exons. NCBI's taxonomy places the organism in Eukaryota, Metazoa, Chordata, Actinopteri, Synbranchiformes, Synbranchidae.